Molecule: transfer RNA, 64 nt
Filed under: Blasticotoma sp. 'minuta'
Lineage: Eukaryota; Metazoa; Arthropoda; Insecta; Hymenoptera; Blasticotomidae
Description: tRNA-Phe
Source: RNAcentral
AUUUAAAUAACUUAAAUUAAAGUAUAUCAUUGAAGAUGAUAAAAUGAUGUUGAAUCUUUAGAUA